RNAcentral lists this transfer RNA (87 nucleotides) under Streptococcus pneumoniae. RNAcentral describes it as "tRNA-Asn". It matches the Rfam family "tRNA". Rfam says of the family: Transfer RNA (tRNA) molecules are approximately 80 nucleotides in length. Their secondary structure includes four short double-helical elements and three loops (D, anti-codon, and T loops). The record is from RNAcentral. Lineage: Bacteria; Bacillati; Bacillota; Bacilli; Lactobacillales; Streptococcaceae.
UCCGCCAUAGCUCAGUUGGUAGUAGCGCAUGACUGUUAAUCAUNNCUGUUAAUCAUGAUGUCGUAGGUUCGAGUCCUACUGGCGGAG